CUCGUAGGCGGUUCAACAAGUCGGUCGUGAAAGCCCGGGCUCAACCCCGGGACGCCGGUCGAAACUGUUGUGACUAGGGUCCGGUAGAGGUGAGUGGAAUUCUCGGUGUAGCGGUGGAAUGCGCAGAUAUCGAGAGGAACACCAGUAGCGAAGGCGGCUCACUGGGCCGGUACCGACGCUGAGGAGCGAAAGCAAUGGGGAGCAAACA
RNAcentral lists this ribosomal RNA (208 nucleotides) under uncultured bacterium. RNAcentral's name for it is "partial 16S ribosomal RNA". It matches the Rfam family "Bacterial small subunit ribosomal RNA", at positions 568 to 774 of the family's 1533-position model. The record is from RNAcentral.